Molecule: long non-coding RNA, 408 nt
Filed under: Linum usitatissimum (flax)
Lineage: Eukaryota; Viridiplantae; Streptophyta; Magnoliopsida; Malpighiales; Linaceae
Description: long non-coding RNA (LUSI_LNC007094)
Source: RNAcentral
GCCUACGUUCGUGCCAAUAGGUCGCUAACACAACGUCCGUAUCGACAAGUGAAAACAAAUGAAUUACCAUGUCAUGCAUUCUUUUAGGUGACUUGAACAAAACAUUCGUAUGAUGCAGUGAAACAAACGUAUCGCCACGAUCUGUGUUCGUUCCGGUGGACGUAAACAAAAUGCUUGUAUCAGACACAAAAAAUCCAAAAAAGUUAACAAAUGACAUAAUGAAGAACAUAAAAAAUCCAGAACAAUCAAAUCUACAAGAACACGAAAAAUAAAAGGUUAAAAGAGAGCUCACCUACCUUUUCGAAAUUUGUGUUUUUUCGUGCAAAGAUCCAUCAAAACGAACCUAAUGGAUCAUCCAUUCAAAGAAAUCGAGAGAUAAAAACUCAGAUCAAACAAAACCAUAAGAAC